GCGCGGUGCCCGCUGCAAGUUCCAGGCGCUCUCUCUCUCUGAGCUCAUCCCAUCCUCCUCCAAGAGGGAGGAGGCCAGGGCCGCUGAUUGUUGCUACUGCUGCUAUUACUCUGGCUGGGAGGGUGGUUCCACUUCUCAACAUCACCGCCGGGGGAAAGUAGGGUGGGGAGGGGAGGACCUCCUUCGAGCAUCCGCUGCUGAUGCUGGACUCUGCAGCAUCCUCCUCCUCAGUCCCAGGGAAGAUGGAUUCGCUUGGUACCUCUCCCCCUUUGAAGCAGCUUCUCCUGGUCUGCGCGGGGGCAUCCAGAGCAACUAAUGAGGACACCUUACCAAGGAAUGCUACACUGUAGGUGCUGAGAAGACUGGGACUAGAGGGGGGGAGGGGGGCAAUAAAUAAAUGAAUGAAUGAAAUGGCAGCACCUAUUUGAAAGGCAUUCAAACCCUCAUAGACUCAAUUCCACAAAGAACAAUGUCCAAGAAAGGACGGAGUAAGGGCGAGAAGCCUGAGGCGCUGAUUGUGGCUCUUCAGGCGGCCAAUGAAGACCUCAGGACCAAGCUCACUGACAUUCAAAUAGAACUGCACCAGGAGAAGUCUAAGGUGGCAAAACUUGAAAGAGAAAAAACCCAAGAAACCAAACGAAUCCGUGAACUGGAGCAGCGCAAACAUACAGUCUUGGUCACAGAACUUAAGGCCAAACUCCAUGAGGAAAAAAUGAAGGAACUGCAGGCUGUCCGAGAGAACCUGAUCAAGCAGCAUGAGCAGGAAAUGGCACGGACGGUCAAAGUACGUGAUGGGGAGAUCCAGAGGCUUAAGUCAGCCCUGUUUGCCCUCCGGGAUGGCAGUAGUGACAAAGUAAGGACAGCAUUGACCAUUGAGGCCCGUGAGGAGGCCCGGAAACUCUUUGACUCAGAACGCCUCAAGCUUCUCCAGGAGAUCACUGACCUUAAGUCAGCCAAAAAGCAGGUGGAUGAGGCACUGAAUAAUAUGAUCCAGGCUGACAAAAUCAAGGCUGGGGACCUGCGGAGUGAGCACCAGUCCCACCAGGAAGCCAUCUCCAAGAUCAAAUGGGAAUGUGAACGUGACAUCCGGCGGCUGAUGGAUGAAAUCAAGGCCAAGGAUAGGAUCAUCUUUUCCCUGGAAAAAGAGCUGGAGACGCAGACAGGCUACGUCCAGAAGCUCCAGCUGCAAAAGGAGGCUUUGGAUGAGCAGCUCUUCCUGGUGAAGGAAGCUGAGUGCAACAUGAGCAGCCCCAAACGAGAAAUUCCAGGAAGAGCUGGAGAUGGCUCUGACCACUGCGGUAGCCCUGACUUACGAAGAAACCAGAAGAGAAUUGCUGAGUUGAAUGCUACCAUAAGGAAGCUAGAAGAUAGAAAUACAUUACUUGGAGAUGAAAGAAAUGAGUUGUUAAAACGUGUACGAGAAACUGAAAAACAGUGUAAGCCUCUCCUGGAAAGGAACAAGUGCCUCACCAAGAGAAAUGAUGAGCUGAUGCUGUCUCUUCAGCGAAUGGAAGAAAAGCUAAAAGCUGUCACCAAGGAGAAUUCUGAAAUGAGGGAUAAAAUGACAUCACAUCCUCCUUUGAAGAAGUUAAAGUCUCUGAAUGACCUUGACCAAGCUAACGAAGAACAGGAGACAGAAUUUUUAAAACUUCAAGUCAUUGAGCAGCAAAAUAUUAUUGAUGAAUUAACUAGGGACCGGGAAAAGCUUAUCCGUCGCAGAAAACAUAAGAGAAGUUCCAAACCAAUUAAGAGGCCUAUUUUGGACCCAUUUAUUGGAUAUGAUGAGGACUCCAUGGAUUCAGAAACAUCAUCCAUGGCCUCCUUUAGGACAGACAGAACACCAGCCACUCCAGAUGAUGACCUGGAUGAGAGUUUGGCAGCUGAAGAAUCUGAGCUGCGGUUUCGCCAGUUAACGAAAGAAUACCAGGCUCUCCAGAGAGCGUAUGCCCUUCUGCAGGAGCAGACAGGAGGGAUCAUAGAUGCUGAAAGAGAAGCCAAGGCCCAGGAGCAGUUACAAGCAGAAGUGCUCAGGUAUAAAGCCAAAAUUGAAGACCUGGAGGCAACUUUGGCUCAGAAGGGACAGGAUUCACACUGGGUAGAAGAUAAACAACUUUUCAUUAAGAGAAACCAGGAGCUUUUAGAAAAGAUAGAAAAACAGGAGACAGAAAACAACCGAUUACAACAGGAACUGCAAGAUGCCAGAGACCAGAAUGAGCUGCUGGAGUUCCGAAACCUGGAGCUGGAAGAAAGAGAAAGAAGAUCACCUCCAUUUAACCUACAGAUUCACCCAUUCUCCGAUGGUGUAAGCGCACUACAAAUAUAUUGCAUGAAAGAAGGUGUCAAGGAUGUGAGCAUCCCAGAUCUCAUUAAACAGCUUGACAUUCUGGGUGACAAUGGGAAUUUACGGAAUGAAGAACAAGUGGCCAUUAUUCAGGCCAGCACUGUACUUUCCCUUGCAGAAAAGUGGAUCCAACAGAUCGAAGGGGCAGAGGCUGCAUUACAUCAGAAGAUGAUGGAACUGGAAAGUGACAUGGAACAAUUCUGCAAGAUCAAAGGUUACCUGGAAGAAGAACUAGAUUAUAGGAAGCAAGCACUUGACCAAGCUUAUAUGAGAAUCCAGGAGUUGGAAGCCACUUUAUAUAAUGCUUUGCAGCAAGAAACUGUGAUCAAAUUUGGUGAAUUAUUAAGUGAGAAGCAACAAGAAGAAUUAAGAACAGCAGUAGAAAAAUUACGGAGGCAGAUGCUGAGAAAGAGCAGAGAAUACGAUUGUCAGAUCCUUCAGGAGAGAAUGGAACUGCUACAACAAGCCCACCAGAGAAUCCGAGACUUAGAAGACAAAACUGAUAUCCAGAAAAGACAAAUAAAGGAUUUAGAAGAAAAGUUUCUGUUCCUAUUCUUGUUCUUCUCUCUUGCCUUUAUUCUUUGGCCUUGAUGUCAAGGUGCCUCUUAAAGUAGAAAACAGAUACCAAGUAGCUAUGUUACCUGGUCACAAGGAAAGUCGAUGAUGGAAUUUCUACAUCAGCAAAAUUGAUCCAGUCCUGGAAAGUGACAGAGGCCCAGAACAGCAUCCACUGGGCCCUCUUAAGUGGGGAGAAUGAUCUUUGUUUGAGUUGAAGAAAGGGAAGAAAAGAGUUAUUAAAGGAUAGAGAGUUACAGACAACAUGGAUGAGACCUUAGACAAGCUAAUGCUUCCAAACAUGUGAAGAUAAAAAAAAUUGUUUACACCAAUGGGGUAUUAAAACAAAAAACAAAACAAAAAAACAAAAAAAACAAGAACUACCCAGUAGCCAAGACUACUACCCAUGUAUUUUAAAGCCAUUAUUCAAGAUUUCUUACUUGACAGUUCCUACAUGAUCCUGUCAAAAAUCUACAAUAUAUGCUGCAUUUAAUGACAACUGUAGAUGUUGAACUAGAAGAAAAGAACUAUGAACAUAUAUUGUUUAAAGAGAAAUAUCAAGGAACCAUUUUCAGCAGGUCAAGCAAAGAUGUGUCUUGGGCAUGGAACCAAAGUUACAAUGGAACAAUAUUCCCCUGCUGUGCAGGGAGGUCAUUUUAAUGUAACAACAAUACCCCACAAAAAAACCAGUUCUUCUAAUUAAAAAAAACACACACACAACAUUUUAAAAAGGGGAGGGAGGGAGGAAGGGAGGUAAUAAGCACGAUGAAUACCCUACAAACUAUAAGGAGCUAUUUACAAUAAAAUAUUAAAUUUGAAAAGUCUGGUUUCUUACUAUAGGGAUUCGUUUUUCUUCCCCCCCCCAAUAUUUUUUUGGUUAUUAUUUUAAACUCAGGAACAGUAACAGCUGCAAUGUGAACAGAAGAAGAAACUUAAUCUUUCUUUUCCUUCAACAUCAAGAGACAGAUCCUGUACUCUGAAUAAGAGACAACUGGGAAGCAGAUUGUGGCAACAGCAGCCAAAUCCACCACCAAGCUAAAGAUCCCCAACAUCACCAAUGAAGGGACAUUUGCUGCAGCAUGGGGAUUCUUGACAAUACUUGCCUCAUUGCCCCUCCUGGAAAAACAGACUAAAUAUCUGGCCUCUGAUUUAAAGAUUAAAGAAGAUCAGACCCUGAAUCCUUACUCUUCCAGCAUGGUUAAAAAAAUCAUAAUCGGAAUAUAACUAUGUAAUAUGAUCGUGGGAGCACUGGCUUCAAGGUCAGAAAUCAUCUCUGUGUAUCUGAAACCCAAACUAUGGCUGUUAGGAUACUUGUUUAAACUAAUUUUCCAAGAAGAAAUUUACAUUAUUUCAGUGAAAACAAAGAAAUGGAACCUUUGGAAUGAGGGGAUGCUAUGCCCAGAGAAGUUUAUUACAAGGAUGAAACAAAGCUAUUUGAAAAGAUAACCAAUACCCCCUUUAAAAGCCUCACUGGUGCAGCUAUGAGAUGUUGCUCCCUUGCUGCUUGGAGUGAUGACACUUCACCCAGAUAUGCCAUCUUGUCAAGGUGGCUCCACCUUGGAGAAUGCGUGGAAAAUGUGUUCUCAAAGACAUUUUAAGUAGCUCAAUAUCCUAGAGACAAACAAAUGACCAAUAUGUUCUUCCAGGUCAUAUAGUUCUGGGCUCUGGGUUUUGGUAUUUUUUAAAAAUCACAAGAAUGCUUUUGAAAGGCUAAUUUUAUAGUUCAUUUACUGUAUAUAACAAAACAACCUCAACUUUUCAAAUCAUCCAGUUUUUAUUUAAGGGGUUAAAAUCAUCAUCUAUAGAGAUGGCAUAUAUUUGGGCCAAGAUCUCUAUAGAAUGUUCUGCAAAAUGCUCUUUUCUCCUAGUACUGCAUGGGACAAGUGUCUAACUCCUCGGCUUUAAUUCAGGUCAAUGUAGAGGCAGAAAAGACGGAAAGGGCAUAUGUUAUGUGAGUGGUAAGAGCUCAUGCCUGAGAAUUUGGAGUUUAUUUUUAAUUUAGUAUUGUUGUUUUCUCAGCUCAAUCACCUUCUCAGGCUCCCUUGGCCCAUCACUUAACCUCUCUGUGCCUCAGUUUCCUCAUGUGCAAAAUGGGGAUAAUAAUUGUGCUUGUUCAUCAAGUCCUUUGCAGUCCUGGGACGAAAAAGGGUGCUUUUUAAAAGUACCAUGUGCUAUAUAAUUGUUCUAAAUGCAAUAUAAUUUGAUUUAGGGUUGAGAGAAAGGCGUCUUUUUUUAGUCAGAGCAUCAGUUGAAUGUCGGCCAAAGUACUGUAGUACUUCCAUGAGACUGACUAGGGGUGUCACUAGCAAUAAAUUAUGGGAGACCCAAUGUCAGAAUCCUUAUCAACCCAUCACAUAUAUGCCAUGCAUGUUUUUGGACAAGAUAGAAAAGCUUUUCACUGUAAUAAAUUUCCUCAUUUCCUAGUCUUCCUUCACCAUGUGUGUAUAUUUCAUAAAGCUAACAGAAAAAAAAAA
Molecule: RNA transcript, 5370 nt
Organism: Sarcophilus harrisii (Tasmanian devil)
Lineage: Eukaryota; Metazoa; Chordata; Mammalia; Dasyuromorphia; Dasyuridae
Gene: JAKMIP2
Gene name: janus kinase and microtubule interacting protein 2
Exons: 24
Source: RefSeq, a predicted model, not a curated record